RNAcentral lists this non-coding RNA (785 nucleotides) under Abia sp. Lineage: Eukaryota; Metazoa; Arthropoda; Insecta; Hymenoptera; Cimbicidae. The record is from RNAcentral.
UAAAAGUUUGAUUUUAGCUUAAAUAUUUAUAUUAUAAUUAUUUUGCAUGUAAAUUAUUGUGUGAAAUUUAUAUAUUUUAAAUAAAUAUUUAAUUUUAUUUAUUAUUUGCAGCAUUUAAUUUUAAUAAUUUAAGAAAUUUAGAAUUAUUAAUUAUUUUAUACAUAGGCUAAUAUUGUGCCAGCAGCUGCGGUUAAACAAUUUAUGUAAUUAAAUAUUAUUAAUUUAUAAUUUUUUUUAAUUAUUAAAUAUAAAUAAAUUUUAAUUAGGUGAAAUUUUUAAUUAUUUUAAUAUUUUUAAAUUUUAUUUAAAUUAUGAAAUCUAAAAUUUAAACUAGGAUUAGAUACCCUAUUAUUUUAGAAUUAAAUUUUAAUUUUAAGGAUUAUUAGUUAUGAUCUUAAAACUUAAAAAAAUUGGCGGUAUUUAAAUCUAAUUAGGGGAAUUUGUUUUUUGAAUGAUAAUCCACAAGAUACCUUACUUUAUUAAUUAAUUUGUUUAUUGUCGUUAUAAAAAUAUUUUAUAAGAAUUAUUAAUUUUUAAUAAUUAAUAUAAUAAUUUAUUUCAGAUCAUAGUGCAGUAAUAAUAAAGUUUAAAUGAAUUACAAUAAAUUUUAUUUAAAUGGAUAAAAAAUUGAAAUAUUUUAUUGAAGGUGGACUUAAUAGUAAAAUUUAAUAUAUUAUAAAUUUGAAUUUAGAAUUAAAUAUGUACAUAUUGCCCGUCACUCUCAUUUUUAAAAAUGAGAUAAGUCGUAACAAAGUAAGUGUAUUGGAAAAUGUACUUAGAAUGGU